UACGGGGGUGGCGAGCGUUACUCGGAUUUAUUGGGUGUAAAGGACAGGUAGGCGACCUGCCAAGUUAGAAGUGAAAUCCUAAGGCUUAACCUUAGAACUGCUUCUAAAACUGGCGGGAUUGAGGCUGGGAGAGGAGAGCGGAAUUCCCGGUGUAAGGGUGAAAUCUGUAGAUAUCGGGAGGAACACCAGUGGCGAAAGCGGCUCUCUGGCCUAGAUCUGACGCUAAGCUGUGAAAGCUCGGGGAG
Molecule: ribosomal RNA, 245 nt
Filed under: uncultured bacterium
Lineage: Bacteria
Description: partial 16S ribosomal RNA
Rfam family: Bacterial small subunit ribosomal RNA
Source: RNAcentral